GAAUUGUUCGCAAUGGGCGCAAGCCUGACGACGCAACGCCGCGUGGAGGAUGAAGAUUUUCGGAUCGUAAACUCCUGUCGAGUGGGAAGAAUAGCCUGGGGGCGAAUAUCCCCGAGGUCUGACGGUACCACUAAAGGAAGCCCCGGCUAACUCCGUUCCAGCAGCCGCGGUAAUACGGGGGGGGCAAGCGUUGUUCGGAAUUACUGGGGGUAAAGGGCUCGUAGGCGGCCAACUAAGUCAGACGUGAAAUCCCCAGGCUCAACCUGGGAACUGCGUCUGAUACUGGAUGGCUUGAAUUCGGGAGAGGGAUGCAGAAUUCCAGGUGUAGCGGUGAAAUGCGUAGAUAUCUGGAGGAAUACCGGUGGCGAAGGCGGCAUCCUGGACCGACAUUGACGCUGAGGAGCGAAAGCUAGGGGAGCAAACGGG
Molecule: ribosomal RNA, 426 nt
Filed under: uncultured bacterium
Lineage: Bacteria
Description: bacterial SSU rRNA
Rfam family: Bacterial small subunit ribosomal RNA
Source: RNAcentral